Molecule: transfer RNA, 73 nt
Filed under: Felis catus (domestic cat)
Lineage: Eukaryota; Metazoa; Chordata; Mammalia; Carnivora; Felidae
Also listed under: 2 other names
Rfam family: tRNA
About the family: Transfer RNA (tRNA) molecules are approximately 80 nucleotides in length. Their secondary structure includes four short double-helical elements and three loops (D, anti-codon, and T loops).
Source: Rfam by way of RNAcentral
GCCUGGCUGGCUCAGUGAGUAGAGCAGGCGACUCUUGAUCUCAGGGUCGUGAGUUCAAACCCCAUGCUGGGCA